GGUAAAAUGGCUGAGUUUAAGCAUUAGACUGUAAAUCUAAAGACGGGGAAAAAAUGUCCCCUUUUACCA
This 69-nucleotide transfer RNA is filed under the name Ornithorhynchus anatinus (platypus). It matches the Rfam family "tRNA". Rfam says of the family: Transfer RNA (tRNA) molecules are approximately 80 nucleotides in length. Their secondary structure includes four short double-helical elements and three loops (D, anti-codon, and T loops). Lineage: Eukaryota; Metazoa; Chordata; Mammalia; Monotremata; Ornithorhynchidae. The record is from Rfam by way of RNAcentral.